AACAACACAGAGUUGGUGCAGAGCUACCGGCAGCAGAUUGGGAACGUGGUGAACCAGGCCAACCUGCAGCUCUUCUGGAACAUGUACAACAGCCGCAGAGACCUGGACAUUAACCGGCCUGGAACAGUGCCCAAUGCCAAGACGCUCCGGUGAGUGGCCCCUGGCCCUCUGGCCUGCCCCCGCCUUUGCCCCCAUGACCCAGCCAGACAGCCCUUUUCCUCUGUAUCUGCAGCUGCCCCGUGAUGCUGGUGGUUGGGGAUAAUGCACCUGCUGAGGACGGGGUGGUGGAGUGCAACUCCAAACUGGACCCGACCACUACGACCUUCCUGAAGAUGGCAGACUCUGGAGGGCUGCCCCAGGUCACACAGCCAGGGAAGCUGACUGAAGCCUUCAAAUACUUCCUGCAAGGCAUGGGCUACAUGCCCUCGGCCAGCAUGACCCGCCUGGCACGCUCCCGCACUGCAUCCCUCACCAGUGCCAGCUCGGUGGAUGGCAGCCGCCCACAGGCCUGCACCCACUCGGAGAGCAGCGAGGGGCUGGGCCAGGUCAACCACACC
RNAcentral lists this small RNA (557 nucleotides) under Pongo abelii (Sumatran orangutan). RNAcentral's name for it is "retained intron". The record is from RNAcentral. Lineage: Eukaryota; Metazoa; Chordata; Mammalia; Primates; Hominidae.